GCUUAGGUUUCGCUUGGAUUAAGUUCGCGGCCUUUUUAAGACCGCUCCAACAGUUCGAAAUCUUUUCUUAAGUUC
Molecule: transfer RNA, 75 nt
Filed under: Marinobacterium sp. xm-v-242
Lineage: Bacteria; Pseudomonadati; Pseudomonadota; Gammaproteobacteria; Oceanospirillales; Oceanospirillaceae
Also listed under: 1 other name
Description: tRNA-Lys
Source: RNAcentral